Molecule: unclassified non-coding RNA, 1111 nt
Filed under: Hevea brasiliensis (rubber tree)
Lineage: Eukaryota; Viridiplantae; Streptophyta; Magnoliopsida; Malpighiales; Euphorbiaceae
Source: RNAcentral
AAAAAGUUUACACUGCUCUUGAAAUACGCCUUUGCAAGAAAUAUUAUUUUCUUUAGCUUUGAUGAGCUAUAUGCUCUCAUAACCAAAUACACAUCCUCAAGAUUUGACUAUGUUAAAGCCUACAACAAAUUCAUUCCCUUCCAUCUGACCUCAUGUGGCAUCUGAGUUCUAACACAAAAUUUAUAAGAGAAAAAGAGAAUGGAAAAUGCCGACUGUGUCUGCUGUAUAUGACAAAAAUCCCCUACUCAAGCAGAUUUCUUUAACCAUCUCACCAUUUUUAAGCUGCUACUGCUACCUUCUUAGCAUCUUUCUUCUCUGUCUUGAGAAUUGGUACCACUUCAGGCUUUUCAACUCCUUGAAUAUCCGUAAUCCUCAACUUUGUUAAUUCCUGUCGAUGCCCUCGUGUUCGUCGAUAAUUCUUUCGUCUCUUCUUCUUGAAUAUCAGUACUUUAGCAUCUAAUGCAUGCUCCUCAACAACAGCAUGAACAGCUGCAUCAGGCAAUACAGGCCUGCCAAUGAUUGUCUGUGUCUUUGAGCCCAGCAGCAGAACCUUGUUUAGAAUCAACUUGUCAUUGACUUCACAGAACUUCAGUUUCUCCACAAAAAUGGAAUCGCCAUUGCUCACUUUAAACUGGUGGGAACCAAUCUGAAUAACAGCAUAAACGGGUUCAUAUGGUUUGAAAACCCGGUCCGAUUUCUGAAGUGGGCCGAUCACCUUAUAUCCAAUUUCUGCCGCCUCGUACUCUUUCUCCUCCGGAGUGUAUACUCUACCGGGCUCACUAUUCGAUUUGAAGCCCUCAACGUCAUCAUCAUCGUCAUCAUCAUAAUCUGUUUCAUCUUCACUUUCAUCCUCUUCCUCCUCGUCGCUAUUGCUCGGUCGAUUCGAAGAGAAAUGCCGGUGGAAAGAUGAAAGUUGAGUGGUAACUUGGGGGCAUUUGGGAGACGAAGUUAGUGUGUUGAUGGAAUUGAGCAGUGGUGGGGUUAGGGUUUGAGGGGAACAAAGAGACGGGUUUGGAGAGAGAAGGUAUGAUAAAUGACGGGUUAGGGUUUGAAGGCAUCGCCGAUUUGCCAUUGCUUGGCUGAGCUUUGAGCUGACGAGGAAGAAGGUUUU